AUCCGUGGCUCAGAGUGAACGCUGGCGGCGUGCUUAACACAUGCAAGUCGAACGAGAAACGGUCUAGCUUGCUAGAUGCAGUCUAAGUGGCGCACGGGUGAGUAAUAUAUAGGUAAUAUGCCUCUUACUAAGGGAUAACAGAUGGAAACGUCUGCUAAUACCUUAUAUGCCUUUAGGACUAAAGUCCGCAAGGGAAAGAUUUAUCGGUAAGAGAUUAGCCUGUACAGUAUCAGUUAGUUGGUGAGGUAAUGGCUCACCAAGGCUAUGACGCCUAACUGGUUUGAGAGGAUGAUCAGUCACACUGGAACUGAGACACGGUCCAGACUCCUACGGGAGGCAGCAGUGGGGAAUAUUGCACAAUGGACGAAAGUCUGAUGCAGCAACGCCGCGUGGAGGAUGACACAUUUCGGUGCGUAAACUCCUUUUAUAUAGGAAGAUAAUGACGGUACUAUAUGAAUAAGCACCGGCUAACUCCGUG
Molecule: ribosomal RNA, 478 nt
Filed under: uncultured bacterium
Lineage: Bacteria
Description: bacterial SSU rRNA
Rfam family: Bacterial small subunit ribosomal RNA
Source: RNAcentral